Tachyglossus aculeatus (Australian echidna) is the source of this 522-nucleotide long non-coding RNA. RefSeq lists it as uncharacterized. The transcript is spliced from 3 exons. Lineage: Eukaryota; Metazoa; Chordata; Mammalia; Monotremata; Tachyglossidae. The record is from RefSeq and is a predicted model, not a curated record.
CGGAGCGGCUUGCCCGGCGCAGCCUGACCCACGCAGACACGGACCCCGUUACCGUGGACGGAACAGAGGGGUGCGGGGUGCGAGUAGGCCCUCAAGAAGAUCGGGACAUGGGCCUCUCCUUGGAUCUAAUCCUCACUUCGUGUUGACUGAGGGGAACACCAAUCCCCUGUCCUUUUGCCUCAGGUGUGACCCUUCUUUCUCCCUCCAGCACCUGGGCCUUGAAGACCCAUGGUGGAGAUCUUCCUAGAAGUCUGCAGGGGAUGACAGUAGGCUUUUACAUGAAACAAAGCCCUAUUUUCCCUCUCCCACAGACCAGAGAGGGUGGCUGGAACUGCGAGUAGUUGCCUGAUUUUCAUGCCUCUUCUCUUCUUCUGCUGCUGAUGAACAUUCAUUCCAGAGAGUCUUUCUACACCAAGGCUGGUGCUGCAGAGGGAUAGGACAGACUGUCAAAUUCUCUGUUGUGUGUAUACACAAGGGGCUAGCUUUUAGAUACAUGAAUUACAAUCAGCACAUAUUAUUUGU